RNAcentral lists this long non-coding RNA (653 nucleotides) under Panax ginseng (ginseng). RNAcentral's name for it is "long non-coding RNA (PGIN_LNC006095)". Lineage: Eukaryota; Viridiplantae; Streptophyta; Magnoliopsida; Apiales; Araliaceae. The record is from RNAcentral.
UUAUUUCCUAAUUAUGCAUUCAUCAUAUCAGAUCAGAUCAAAAUUUCAUGUCCAGAACAAAUUCAUUUUUCUCUCGAUAUAUAUAAAAUUUCAAAUCCAAAAUACCAUGAAGAAUGGACAGUCCCGUCCGUCCAAGGCACCACAGAUAAAUCCACGAACAAGUUCAGUGGGAUAAAAUUUUCAACAAAUAUUUGAAAAGAGUUGCAUAUAUCGAGAGAAAAAUGAAUUUGUUCUGAACAGUUACUACUGGUGCUGCGAUUUGCAGUUAGUAUGGUCCUCGCCAUGGAUUUGAUGGAAAAUGAUGAUCUGAGGCUGGUUGGCGAUUAUCAAAUCCAACUAAUUUACUUGAAGACGUUGCCAUGGCCGGUUUCAUCAACUGGGCAACAUUGCUGAGUCAGUAUCUUUUGUCCUCUUCUGUUCUUCUUCUUUUCUUAGUUAAUGAAAUUACUUUUGAGCUCUGUAUCACGGUGAUUAUGUAACCGUACCAAUUUGGGAAUUCUAUGUUUUUUACUGUCUAGAUGUUUUUUUCCUAAUUUUUUUGACAAAAAUAAUUUCUGAUAAUGGAUUGGGAUUAGAGGUGGUUUUAUUUCUGCAUAUGGGUUUGAUUAUGUAAAGUAUUUUAGUUUGUUUUAUAUAUCUAAAUACGGUCAAAU